AUGCAACUUAAACAUCCGAACAUUCAACUUAACAUCCAAACAUUCAAACACAUAGUACUCCUACGGACACACUAUGCACAUACUACUCAUCAUCAUCGUCAGGUUGUGUGUCCGAUGGCGUUCCAAAACACCAUGGUCUCCUCCUUAGAGGUAUUGAACUCCUCACUCUGGUCGUCAAGCUCAACCUCGUCGUCAGACCCGAGCUUGAUCACCCUGGAGGGGCUAGCCUCGCCCUCCUUGCGCUCCACCUUGCGCUCAUUGUCCCUCUUUCAAAACCACUCCACCUCCGCCUGUACAAGAUGUGGAUUUUCCACGGCGAACCUCGCCAUCGCCGCCUCAUCACCCUCCCGGGUGUCCCGCUGCUCCAGGACAAUGCGGGUGACCCUCUUCUCCUUGCGGGAUACAAUAUUCACCGUCGGAGUGAUGAACUUCGCCCCCUCCCGAGAUUCAAUUACCGGAAAGUUAAGCUUGCGACGUGGCCGGUCAAGCCUCCAACAGGCGAUGUUGAACGCGCUCGUGGCUAGCUCCGCCACUCGAACUUGCCGAGCCAAUGGCGCUGGCCGUCGCACUGCAGCUCGGCGCCGUAGUGGCCGGACUGCCGCAGCCGAACGUGUGCUCUUUGGCGCGCGUUUCGGCGGCAGCCUCNNNNNNNNNNNNNNNNNNNNNNNNNNNNNNNNNNNNNNNNNNCGGCAAUGCGGCGUGGCGCGCGGUGGUAAUGGCUGGAUUCGGUCCACAGGGCGGUAUGGUGCAACGACGGUUUUAGGAUUGGAAAUGGGGUACUGCGGUGGCAGGGCAGUGGCGGUGUGGCCGAUUGGAACAGGGGUACGAUGGUUUCAAGCUGCGGGGUGGUGCAUGAUGGCUGGAUUCAGUGGGGCGGCGGUGGCGUGGAGGGAAAAGGGCUGCGGGGAAGGUUCCUGA
This 918-nucleotide ribosomal RNA is filed under the name Triticum aestivum (bread wheat). RNAcentral's name for it is "partial small subunit ribosomal RNA". Lineage: Eukaryota; Viridiplantae; Streptophyta; Magnoliopsida; Poales; Poaceae. The record is from RNAcentral.